This is an RNA transcript of Drosophila mojavensis, 3929 nucleotides long. It is a transcript of the gene named membralin, with no coding region annotated. Lineage: Eukaryota; Metazoa; Arthropoda; Insecta; Diptera; Drosophilidae. The record is from RefSeq and is a predicted model, not a curated record. The transcript is spliced from 13 exons.
UUAUAUUAUUGCAUGACCUGCGACUCGUUACUAAAUACCGGUUACUUGACUGACGAGUAUAUCGAGUUGGCAGCCUUGCUUUGACAACAACAUAUAACUCACAAUAAUGCACUAGAUUGGAGCAGCUGAUGACAGCUACAACGGGCACCCAACGAAACGAGAGCAACAUCAUCAGCGAUAUCAACAGCGACGACAGCAACAGCAACAACAACAUCAGCUGUACAAACAUAAAUUUUUAGACAAAUUCGGGGUGGGGGGCUGACGACUGACUACGGAAGACGGUCGCCAAAAAGACACGGAAGUGUUUUCUCACCAGAAACUUGAUUGAAAACCACCUUCGGUGCGUAUUAAGCCAUGGCCGAUGCUGCUGGUGGUGGCAUGCCCGAAAAUGCGGCCGAAAUAGCCGUGGCGAAUGCAAUCAAUAACAUCAACGGCCGCAAUCGUGUGCUCGCUGGCGGAGUGCCUGCCGGCGGGUUAGGAGUAGGCGGAGGUGUUGGCCAAAACAACAUGAUGAACAUGCGGGAUCGUCUAUUUCAUGCCAUUUACUUUCGUGUAGCAGCCACCUAUGCAGAGUUAGUGCCACGCAAGAUUCAAAUGGCAAUUGAGUUUCUGCUGCUGCUGAAGGCUUUGGUGUUCUUCUUCACUUUGGUUUACAUACACACGGCAUUUAUAAAGAAUCCCUGCACCUGCCUGCAGGAUGUGCAGAAUUGGCCACGCGAUGGCGUUAUCCGUGUGGAAAUAAUACCACACUUGGCCGAGAAGCGUGCCAUAUGGCAGCGCAUUAAGUCCGAUCAGCAGCUGGUGCUGGCGCUUAAGCAUACUUACUACUAUGGCAUUGGACCGCAAACACUGGACAAUCACAACAGGCUGAAGCGCUACGAGACGAUACUACGCAAACUGGGCUUGCCGGUGCGACCCAAUUUCGCCUAUGGCAACGAGAGUCUGUACUACUAUUUCGAUGCUGUCAAUAUACUGGAUAGCUACGAGCAUCCCAGCGCUAUACCGCUCAAGGCUGAUGACGAUGAUGAUGAGCAAUACAUUGUUGAGUAUUCGCUGGAGUACGGCCACCUGCGUCUCUCCGCCGACACACGCAAAAGAUUGAACAUACCCGUGCUGACUGUGCAGCUGGACCCCAAUUCGAAUCCCUGCUUUGGCGAUAGACUGACGCGCUACCUGCUCAAGCGUUUGCUGGGCUAUGAUGACUUGCUAAUGGCUUCGGUGCGCACUGUGGCCGAGAAGGAGGACAACAAGGGCUACCUGCGUAACGUGAUUACGGGCGAGCACUAUCGUUUCGUGUCCAUGUGGUGGGCUGCCUGGAGCAGCUAUCCAGCUGCAUUCUUGGUCAUGUUGCUCUUUACGUUUUCGGUGUCCAUGCUGUUGCGCUACUCGCAUCAUCAGAUCUUUGUGUUUAUAGUGGAUCUGCUGCAAAUGCUGGAGUACAAUGUCUCGGCCCGCUUCCCCAUCGCGCCCCUACUGACGGUCAUACUGGCGCUCGUAGGCAUGGAGGCCAUCAUGUCGGAGUUCUUCAAUGAUACAACAACUGCUUUCUAUAUAAUAUUGAUUGUCUGGAUCGCGGAUCAAUUUGAUGCCAUCUGCUGCCACACGACCAUUACGAAACGCCAUUGGCUCAGAUUCUUCUACCUAUAUCAUUAUGCCUUCUAUGCGUAUCACUAUCGCUUCAGUGGACAAUAUCGUAGUCUGGCCCUGCUCUCGUCGUAUCUCUUCAUUCAGCACUCAAUGGUAUUCUUCUUCCAUCGGUACGAGCUGCCCGCCAUUAUGGCACAGCGUCAUGUCUUCAUCAUCACGCGAAAUCAAGCAAAUGCAGCAGCUGCUGCUGCUGCUGUCGCCGGCGGCGGAGGAGGCGGUGGUGGUGGUGUUGGUGGUGCUGCUGCUGCUCCAGCUCCCGCUGUAGCUGGUCAACAGGCGGCGCUGCAACGUGCCCGGGUCAUUGUGAUGCGACUCUAUAGACAAUUGGCUGCACAGCGUCAGGGCCAGGCAGCUGGAAACGGAGCAGCCGGAGCCGGAAUGGGUGCGGCUGGAGGUGGAGGCGGCGCUGCUGCUGCACCGGCCAUACACAACAAUCCCAGCGCUGCACUGGCGAAUGCUUUGGGUAAUUUGAGGCGGCUACCGUUGGUGGGGCAGUGGUUGCAUGGACGCGACCAGUUUGCCACAGAGCGACGGGUAUUCCUUGGCCGCGGCCAUGGACACGGCCAGAUGAUGCAUGUGCGGCUGCAGCGCAUCAAUAUGGCCGACAUACCGGGACUGCAGACGCGCGCUGCUGCGGCCGUGGCAGCAGCCAAUGCUGCCGCGGUGGCUGCGCAGGCAGCAGCCCAGGCGGCAGCAACAGCUGCCCAGGCGGCGGCAGCAGCAGCAGCAGCAACAGCAACAACAACGGCAACCGAUACAACAACAAAUGAAGGUAACUAAGUAAAUGAUUGGGCACGAUUUGUGCCCGGUUGUGUUCACUUCAUUGCACUCAAUUGGCGUCGGCUUUAAAUCGCUUUUGGGGCAACAGUCUAAUGCCACAAAUAACUGUGACGCUCCGUACCCAACGAGUGUGCAAUCAGCCGGAAGAUAAAUUUAAAUAUUUCGUUUCAACUGCACUCGAAAACGCAGUCACCAAACAACAACAACAACAGCAACAGCAAACAAACAAAAAAUGUAACCAAAAUGAAAACGUGGCAAAUUCGAAAGGGAACACAGCAAAAACAAAAACAAAAAAUGCCGAAAGUAAAUGUACACAAAUCUCUGAUAGUCUCGCGUGUGUGCAAACAAGUUUGCGGCGGAUUAAAUACCCUGUGAUACGAUUAUCUCUCUCCCUCUCUCUGAAGCUGCUUCUCAAGCGUAAUUUGCCUAGAAGAAAAUGGAUUUUAAAUUUUGAGUACUGUCUUUCUGUUUUAAUUUGAUUUAAAAUUUGCGUUUUUAUAUUUAUAAUUUGUAAAUAAUAAUGCCUUUCUGAAUUUUAUUGUAUUUCUUUUAUUAUUAUUUAUAUUGAUAUUUUCAUAGUAGAGCGAUUAUUAGUCAAAAUUAGAGAAAUAAAAUUGGAUUUUUUUUACAAGUAUUUAUCGCACUUUUAAAACUUCAUUUUCACAACAUUGAAUUAAAUCUAUUAAUGAAAACCCAUAUUAAUAAUGUUUGCUUAAUUUUUGAAUUUUAAGAUUAGAAAAUAAAUUCAAGUUUUCUGCAAGGCCAACUGUUUCUUUACGUAAUUUGUAAAAAAAAAUAAAAGUAAAUAAUGUAUAAUCUAAAAUGCGAAAUUCACAAAAGUUAAAACUUAAAUAUUUAUAUACAUAUGAUCUGUUAUCUAAAAUCCGUAAUUUUUACUCUGAAAUCUAUAUUCUUAAAUCAUCCAUAACGUACAAGUAUGUGUAGCCACUGCAUCAAAAAUGCACAAAGAUUUCGGACUAAUAUCCACUGUAGUUUAUCCCGAAUAUAUUUAUGCCAUUGCAUAUUGAGUGCCCAACAGGAUUAUACCCAAUUUGGCAAUGUUUCUUUUGUUUUUUUUUUUUUUUUUUUUUUCAUCGGCUAUCGUCAGGGUAUAAAAAGGAGUGGCAAUAAAUGUCAAAGAGGCGUCGCACUCGCACAUAAAACGUAGUCAAUAUUAACGAUAUAAAAUAUAAAUGCGAAGCGAGUGUGUGGGCUGCUCAGUCGACCGACCGACCAAUUUGCCAACCCAGCAGAGCUCCCCCUCUCUGCCUCUGGCUACCUUCUUUAUGUGUUUACAAUAAUAUGAAAUUAUUUCUCAAUUCGCUGGCAAAAUAAAUACAAAAAAAAGAAAUGGAAGACGAAGAGGAAGACGAAGAAGAAGAAGAAGAAGAGGGAGAAGUAGUAAAGUAUUCAGUGAAACGAAUGUUUUGUAAAUUAUGUCGAAUCAAAUCAUGGACAAGGACGAAACCAAGAGCCGGCAACAGCAGCACCAACAGCAGCAA